UACGUAGGGCGCAAGCGUUAUCCGGAAUUAUUGGGCGUAAAGAGCUCGUAGGCGGCUCAGUAAGUCAGGUGUGAAACCUCCAGGCUCAACCUGGAGACGCCACCUGAUACUGCUGUGGCUAGAGUCCGGUAGGGGAGCGUGGAAUUCCUGGUGUAGCGGUGAAAUGCGCAGAUAUCAGGAGGAACACCAGCGGCGAAGGCGGCGCUCUGGGCCGGAACUGACGCUGAGGAGCGAAAGCGUGGGUAGCAAACAGG
RNAcentral lists this ribosomal RNA (254 nucleotides) under uncultured bacterium. Its description in RNAcentral is "partial 16S ribosomal RNA". It matches the Rfam family "Bacterial small subunit ribosomal RNA", at positions 524 to 776 of the family's 1533-position model. The record is from RNAcentral.